RNAcentral lists this ribosomal RNA (993 nucleotides) under Mesorhizobium sp. Its description in RNAcentral is "partial 23S ribosomal RNA". It matches the Rfam family "Bacterial large subunit ribosomal RNA", at positions 1950 to 2925 of the family's 2925-position model. Lineage: Bacteria; Pseudomonadati; Pseudomonadota; Alphaproteobacteria; Hyphomicrobiales; Phyllobacteriaceae. The record is from RNAcentral.
CCUAAGGUAGCGAAAUUCCUUGUCGGGUAAGUUCCGACCUGCACGAAUGGCGUAAUGAUGGCCAGGCUGUCUCCACCCGAGACUCAGUGAAAUUGAACUCGCUGUGAAGAUGCAGUGUACCCGCGGCAAGACGGAAAGACCCCGUGAACCUUUACUAUAGCUUGACACUGAACACUGGUCCUUGAUGUGUAGGAUAGGUGGGAGGCUUUGAAGCGUGGACGCCAGUCUGCGUGGAGCCAACCUUGAAAUACCACCCUUUAAUGGCUGGUGUUCUAACGUAGACCCGUAAUCCGGGUUGCGGACAGUGUCUGGUGGGUAGUUUGACUGGGGCGGUCUCCUCCCAAAGAGUAACGGAGGAGCACGAAGGUUAGCUAAUCCUGGUCGGACAUCAGGAGGUUAGUGCAAUGGCAUAAGCUAGCUUGACUGCGAGAGUGACGGCUCGAGCAGGUGCGAAAGCAGGUCAUAGUGAUCCGGUGGUUCUGAAUGGAAGGGCCAUCGCUCAACGGAUAAAAGGUACUCCGGGGAUAACAGGCUGAUACCGCCCAAGAGUUCAUAUCGACGGCGGUGUUUGGCACCUCGAUGUCGGCUCAUCACAUCCUGGGGCUGAAGUAGGUCCCAAGGGUAUGGCUGUUCGCCAUUUAAAGUGGUACGCGAGCUGGGUUUAGAACGUCGUGAGACAGUUCGGUCCCUAUCUGCCGUGGGCGCUGGAGAAUUGAGGGGGGCUGCUCCUAGUACGAGAGGACCGGAGUGGACGCAUCACUGGUGUUCGGGUUGUCAUGCCAAUGGCACUGCCCGGUAGCUAAAUGCGGAAGAGAUAAGUGCUGAAAGCAUCUAAGCACGAAACUUGCCCCGAGAUGAGUUCUCCCUGAGACUUAAAGUCUCCUGAAGGAACGUUGAAGACGACGACGUUGAUAGGUCGGGUGUGUAAGCGCAGCGAUGCGUUGAGCUAACCGAUACUAAUGAACCGUGAGGCUUAACCUUACAACGCCGAAG